AGCAGCCGCCACGGGAAUACAGAGGGUGCAAGCGUUAAUCGGAUUUACUGGGCGUAAAGGGCGCGUAGGUGGUUAUUUAAGUGAGAUGUGAAAGCCCCGGGCUUAACCUGGGAACUGCAUCUUAUACUGGGUAACUGGAGUGCAGUAGAGGGUAGUGGAAUUUCCGGUGUAGCGGUGAAAUGCGUAGAUAUCGGAAGGAACACCAGUGGCGAAGGCGGCUACCUGGACUGAGACUGACACUGAGGCGCGAGAGCGUGGGGAGCAAACAGGAUUAGAUACCCCUGUAGUCCCUGUCUCUUAUAC
RNAcentral lists this ribosomal RNA (303 nucleotides) under uncultured bacterium. RNAcentral describes it as "partial 16S ribosomal RNA". It matches the Rfam family "Bacterial small subunit ribosomal RNA", at positions 507 to 807 of the family's 1533-position model. The record is from RNAcentral.